GAUGAACGCUAGCGGCAGGCCUAACACAUGCAAGUCGAGGGGGAGGUUGCUUUCGGGUAACUGAGACCGGCGUACGGGUGCGUAACGCGUAUACAAUCUGCCUUUCACUGGGGGAUAGCCCGAAGAAAUUUGGAUUAAUACCCCAUAGUAUAGUAAUACGGCAUCGUGAUGCUAUUAAAGCUUAGGUGGUGAAAGAUGAGUAUGCGUUCUAUUAGCUAGUUGGAGAGGUAACGGCUCCCCAAGGCGAUGAUAGAUAGGGGUUCUGAGAGGGAUGUCCCCCACACUGGUACUGAGAUACGGACCAGACUCCUACGGGAGGCAGCAGUGAGGAAUAUUGGACAAUGGUCGGAAGACUGAUCCAGCCAUGCCGCGUGCAGGAUGAAGGUCUUAUGGAUUGUAAACUGCUUUUGUAAGGGAAGAAUAAGGGCUACGCGUAGUUUGAUGACGGUACCUUACGAAUAAGCAUCGGCUAACUCCGUG
Molecule: ribosomal RNA, 480 nt
Filed under: uncultured bacterium
Lineage: Bacteria
Description: partial 16S ribosomal RNA
Rfam family: Bacterial small subunit ribosomal RNA
Source: RNAcentral